Gopherus evgoodei (Goodes thornscrub tortoise) is the source of this 8213-nucleotide long non-coding RNA. RefSeq lists it as uncharacterized. The record is from RefSeq and is a predicted model, not a curated record. NCBI's taxonomy places the organism in Eukaryota, Metazoa, Chordata, Testudines, Testudinidae. The transcript has 5 exons.
GGAGGAGCACUGGCCUGGGCCUACGGCUCCCUGCGGCUGAGGAGGCGGCCGUUGACAGUGCGGUACCGCCGCAGGGCCCAGGGCUAGGGAAGAUUGAGGGGAAGGUGGGGACUGGGGGGCUGGUGAAGGGGAUUCGGGUCUAGACCCUGCCUGGCAGAGGUGUGGCUCGAGGCCUACUUCUGCCAGAGCCUCUGGUUGCAGCACAGCCUGCUGCCACCCAUCCUUAAGGGUGCCCGCCCCAUGAUAAGGGUAACGAAUUGUGGGACAGGCCACUGCACCGGGGAAGUUCUCCGUCCUUGUGACUAACUCAGGUCACCUCGCAGCAGGCCCAUCUCCAGGCCAAGGCCCCAGUUUUUGCAGCCCCCAGACAAAGCCCCAUCUCCCAGCAGGAUUGUGGUUUCUAACUGCACACUGGAGUAAUGUUUUCUUCAUCCGUUUCCUUGCUGAAGGGAAAAGAGCAGCUAUAAAAUCCUACAUGACAGUUUGGGGGUUGCUGGCUGUUAAACAGGAGGUGCCACUCUGACUGCUGGGCAGGGAGAAGAGAGAACUGUUCCCAGGCUAGUAAGAGAAGGGUAGUUUCAAUUCUGAAGUUAGCAAAGGAAGAGGAGCUGUUCUCCCUCUCCUCUCCCCCACAGGCACUUCUACCUUAACUGUAAUCCUGGAAGAGUUUUAUGGAGAGAGGAUCUGUAUUUUAGGCCAGCUAUUCAUGACCCAGUCUCUUAGAUAUAUCUACUGUCAUCAGUAUUGCCAACUCAUGAGGCAGGUGCCCAAAAGAGUUGCUUGGCGCAAACUCAUGAGAUUUUAAAAUCUAAUACACGUUAGGUUCUUUGUAUAUGCCUUCUGGUUUGUAAGUCCUUAGGGUUCACAUUUUCAAGCUUUUCUCUAACUGAAAGCUAUAAAAUUACUUUUAAAAUUAAAGCUGCAAGUCUCACUUAGUCACAUGACUCCAGAAGUUGCUGCUUUAAUAAAAACAUCAGCUAUCCCAAGACUAACUAAAAUCACGAGUUUGCAAAACUGUAACAUACUCUUUAGUGAGUCAAAUAAAUUACUAGUGCAACAGCAUCUCCAAACUUAUUUCAAUGUAAUUCCACAUCAAGAAUUAAUUUGUUCAGUAUGUUUACAGACCAUGUCUUCUUACAUAGGUCAGUAAUUUUACUCACAAAUAUAUGUUACUCUGGAUCCUGGGUAGUUUUCAAUAUUUCACUUGUUAAAUGGAAAGAGAGGAUUUUUUUUUAAUCUAUAGUUUUUAAACUAUAAGAAAGAAGAAAGCAACCUAAAAGAAGCUAUGCACUUAUUAGGUAGAAGAGAGAGAAGGGCUAGCUAUAGUAGGCAGAGGCAAAAUAAUUGUUUUAGCAUUGCAGCUGAUUGUUUCUUCCAAAUUUCAAGGGUCAGUUACCAUACAGGUAUGCUGGGAGAAGCUAUAAAAGGGUAAACUCAAUGAUUCCUAGGCAGUUAGGCCCUUUGGAAGGUUUUUAGUAUACAACAGUGAGUGCUGGAUUAGGCCCAAUGAAAGCAAGUUACACGUACAAAAAAUAUAUUGUAGUCUUCUCUUUAGAAGGGCAUUUUUGAGUACGAGACAGCUUGAGUUGUCUAGAGCGACAAACUGGCAUCUUCGUUACAUAGUCUCAUGGCCAUUUGUUUUCCUGUGAAUUUUUAAAUAGCUUUUGUAAACUUGUUGUGUAAUCUAAAGUUAUAUUUGAGUGCUUUAAAUAUUCAUAAUGUAUGUCUUACUGCUUCAUGCUAAAAACUGAUUUGUAGUGACAAUCUGUUCAAAAACUCUUUCCAGCUCUAUAUAGAUUAGCCUAUGCUACUUUAGGAAAAAAUGGAUUGGAAAGAAGAGAAAGCUCAACAUAUGCCCUUGAGCGAAGGCAAUGAGUGAAUUAAUAAGAGGCAGGUCAAGACUCACAGUUCUUCCUUUGAAGGAAAGUACAGAGUUAUGGAUGGGAGAAAUGGCAGUUUUUUGGCCCACUGAAAUUGUCAUUUAAUCAACAUUUUUAAAAAGGUGCUGUGAGGUUUUUAAACUAUUACAAAUUUCCAGUCUGUACUCCUCCUAAAGCUACAUUUACAUGUAUAGUUUUGGAGCAUUAAGACAAUUAAAUCAGAUCAGCCCAGGAUACAUUUGUUGUCCGAUUUGGGUUUAAAAUACAACUAUCUUCACAGUCUGCUAAUAAGGGCUUUCAGUGCAGUGUACUCCUUUCUUCCUGAUACUUGGCUAGACACAGACAGAUCAGUUAUGUGGUUAAUUGCCAGAUAUUUGCAGUGUAAGUGAAUGUAGAAAAAUCUUGCAUGCAUGAAUAAAUUCUUGUUUUCUACCUGCUCCACAAAACUCCAUUUACAAAUGUAGUAAGCAAAGUGUCAAGAUUUUUAAUCCUAGCAGACCAUUUCAAGUUAAAUUUUUUCAGAACCACUGUUGUCUGAGGUCAUCCAAUAAAGAAGGAUGAGGUCACAGAUCUUUUUUUGGAAUUGGCAGUAGGGAAGCCUGUGCUGCGUGACACUCUUGCUUCUGGUCCUCAGAGUGAUUAACAUGUAAUACUCCAUUGUGUUAGAGGUGGCAGCAUUUUGCACAAGGCCAAAAUAGUCAAAAGUGGUAAUUAGUUCUGGGUGCCUCAACUUUUGGUGCUCCAUUUGAGACAUGUUAGGUUCUGAUAUAAGUGCUAAGCACCAACAACUUCAAAAGGAGACACGGAUACUCAUUACUCUUGAAAAUCAGGCCCAAGGUGGUACAAAAAUCAAGGGGCACUCUUGAAAAUUGUAAUGUUAGUGUCUUUUCUGUUCAGUGUUGUGUUCCUUGUUUUGGUUAGCAUUCUCCUCAGGCUGAUCUUGUUGCCAGGCUUCCUGCAGGGUAGAAAAAUAGUAGUUGCAGAAGAAAAUCCUCAUUCAGGAACUGGUUAGAAAAAUCAUGUCAGGAAAUUUAUGUUCAGAUUCUACAAAGAAAAUAAUAGUGCGGUGUGGAGCAAUGUUAACUAUGCAGGUCACCUGUGUAAACAAAUGCAUCCCAAAUGCAACUAAAUUCAGUGAAAAUGAUUAUUUGUACUUCUGAUGGGCCAACUGGAUGAUAUGCAAAUGUCUGCUUCUUGCCUAUCUAUCAGAGGUGAAUAAUAAUUUUGCUGGAUCUUUCUCUCUCUCUCUCUCAUUAGUUGAUAAGGAAGAACUCACAAUUGUUAAAUACCUUCAACCAUAUAAAUUAUUUCCAGCUUCAGCCUAUGUUUUUUUGUUCAGCACAUGUGCAACAAUACAGAUAUGGCCUUCAUGUUUUGGUGGCCAUCAGUCUUUAUUGUUCGUCAAGGUUUCUGUUUAUUCACUAUGGCAAAACUAAGAUCAGUAUUUACCCACUGCAUCAAUAUGUCUCAAUGUUAAUUUUAGUAGACCUCAGAGUCUGCAUAUUGCUUUUGAUGGUCUGUUCAUCUUUCACAGAAAUUCUAAUCACAUUCCAAUCUCUCAGCUUUCCAACUGCAAAAUUUCACAUCCACUCCACAACUAAAACUUGAGUGGUUCUAAAGAUUGAAACCCAGUCACUCAGCAUCAUCCUAACACCCAAAAUCUUUCUGCUAUCUUUGUAAUUAAAUCUUAGCUUUUGAAACUAUAUUUUAAAUUAAGAUUACAUCUCUUGUGUGGAGUGAUUUUACUCUGUAUAUCUGUUGGAGCUCUGAGGAUGCUUGCUUGUAUUUUUCCAGGCCUCGUCUUGCAGCACUGUCCUUUUGGCAGAGAUGAAAUGGAUGGGACUCCCUUGAGAACUGAAUUUUCCUCCUGAGUUAACUGGAGGGGUUGCUGUUGAAUGUUAAAUGGACCUGAACAGAAAUCCAGAUCCAAAGAACCCUGACAUUUGGGAGAGUCCAGAGCCAGACUUCAUGACUAGCUCCAGUUUAACUAAUGGAAUUAACCAAAAUUGCAGACUGACACAUCCCCAUACUUCAAGCAUGUUCUCAUGUGUUUCAACUCUGCAGCCUGACCCUGUGUCAACUUGUAGGGAUGAAUUUCAUCUGAUUAGAAUAGCAGAAGAGAAGGAAAUUAUUACUCUGUCGUCAUCGCUGGAGACAGUUUGGUACAAUUAUCUUGGGGAAAGCAGAUUCAGCCAUUACAGCAACAUGACUGGAGACAGAUGAAAAUUCAGCAUGGAGAGAGAAAAAUAAAAAGCUCUAACUACAGGUGAGAGAACAACAUUUGUGUCCCAUUCUGAGGAUUUUGAGAGGUAAGUAUUAUUUCAGGGUUGAGGUUUUUUAAUACCUUUUAGUAUAACUCCUCCGUUUUUAAAUAUUUUUUCUCUUCUGAUCUCUUCUUCCACUAUAUCAGUCUCUGUCAGCAACAAUAGCUUCCUGCAGAGAGACACCUGGUAAGAGGAGUCCAGUAACAUGAGCCCUUUCAAAAGGUACUGGACUGAUACCAUAUUUUGUUUGAAGGCUGUAGCUUUAUUGUUUGGAACAGUAAUUGACUGAAGAGUAUGUUAGUUUCUGUAUUGUUUUUAAAGAGAUCAUUUUUUCUGUCUUAUGACUCCUAUAAUGACUGACAUCAGAAAUUUUUUUUUAAUAGGUCUUCUAUUCAGGGAGGCAAAUAGAGGUUACCGAUUGACUCUUUACAUUAAAGGAUGUAUUUUAACAUAUGGGAUUACAAAAUGUAUACUAACUUCUUAAGAUAGUAUCUACACUACAGUUAAACAUUUGUCCCAUAACCUGGCUACAACACAUGCGUUGUGUAGUAGAGAUGCAAUACAUCCAAAGCUUUAGCCUGAUUAUAGAACAUCCCCACGACAAAUUGCGAUGGUUAACAUAUUUCUGUAAUAUCAAGUAUAUAUGGUAUGUGAUAAUUCCUGUUCAGAGGAACUUAACUUCUAAAUUGAUUCAGAACGGUGGGAGAGAGGGAGAAGUAGGGGAGAAGAGGGAAGGAAGGAGGGAUAUGUAGAAUAAGGCUGAGGUUGUUUGCAUAGUACAGUUGCAGUACCCUACUUCCUAAGGUUUGGUUUGUUCAGAAUAACUUUUAAAAUUGUUUUAAGGGAUAUCAUUAGAGAAUCAAUUGAAAGAUAGGUGGGGGGAAAUGGAUAGCGAGGUUGCAUGGCAUACAGGAUCAAGGUGGUGGUUCUACAUAUAGGUAGCAACAUGAGAGAAGACAUGGAGUUCUCCUUAAAUCUCAGAAUAUUGAUUUUGUUUUUUUGCUUUUGGAAGUGCUUAAAUGUUAAAGUCUUUGUGCGUCCUUUGGCAACCUCUGAUAAAUACAGGACACUGCCUGUAUUUAGGCAUUGUAACCUUGGCAUCUAACUAUUCUAUUACAUUAGAAUCAUCUUCAUUUUGGCAGUCCUCCAACAUCCCAAAAUGACUAGCUGCUAAAAUAUCAUCAUGGAGGAUUAACCAAGUACCCCACACACAGCUGGAUUGACACUGAAAGCAGAGCUGCUCAUUUGCACACUUCUCCAUGCACAAGUUACCCAUGCCCCGGGCCGGCAGUUUCUGUCUUAGGUAAGUGGAACCCUAUUGGGUCACACUACCUUCACAGCAUUGUCAAACAUUAGUCUCUUAGUCCUUCACUUCUGUGAAGGGCUGGAGACCCUAUAUGCUGCUUUUCAAGAUACUUUUGGCCAACUGAAGGGGAAAUGCUGCUCAAUUCCAAAUAAUUCAGACCCUCCUAUGCUGAGAUGGCUGGUCACUACAAUACAGACCUUUUGAAUAGGUGUGGAUUUAAAGAGGAAAAUGUAGUAAAGAAGCUUCCAGGGCUCCAAGACUAACUUGCAACUCCCUAAAUUCCCUCUGAUAAAAAUUUACAGUCACAUAAUCUUGUUACAAGGAAAGAGAAAAUGUUAUGUAACAGUUGCAUACAUCUGCACUAGUUUAAUACAUACAAGUUCAGUUGAAUGCUACCACAACAUUAAUUUGGUGUGCUCCCUAAAAAGUUAGAUAGGUAUGGGUUUGUUUUUAUAUUCCUGUGCUUAAAUGAGUUGGGGAAACUGUUUUUUAAUAUAAAACCCACAGGAGCAGAAGGGGCUCAUCAGUCAGGGGCUGAAGCAGUAUUGCCUUUUGAUGACAGGAUGUCCUGAAUCCUGCAGUAGAGAGUUAACAGUAGCAAGCCAUCAACUGGAUGUCACAUCCUUAGCUAAUUGUCAAUGGGGAAUCAUCAUCCAAUGGAGGUGUUGCUUGUGGGGGCCCCCCUCAUUAAGCUGUUUUUGGUCCAAUCUUGUUUAAUACCUCUAUUAACGACCUGGAAGAAAACUUACCAUGCCUGAUAAAACAGACGACAAACAGCAGAGGAGGAAAUGACUGAGUUCUACAGAGCAAUCUCUUGAAGAACAUGCACUCUAAUACAAUUACAUGUAAGAUUUAUAUAUAGUAGAAACCAGAAUGUAGGUCACCCAAGGUGGAGGACAGUAUUUUGGAAAGAAGUGACUCUACAGGGCUUUGUGUUACGGGGAUAACCGGUUGAACAUGAGCUGACAGUAUGAUGCAACUGGCUAAGGGCGCAAAGGCAAUAAACUUAUUUGUAUAAGUAGGGGAAUACUGACUAGAAGUAGGGAGAUGUUACCACUACUGCAUGUAUCAGCGCUGAGACAGUUACUGGAAGACUCGUGUACACUUCUCAUGUCUGCUUUUGAAAGAAGUUUACUCCUGGGGCGAUUCUGUGUGACUGUAUUCCCACAGAAAACAGGCCCCAGCCUUACAGUGACAGAGCAGGGCUUGCAAUCUAAUUAUCUUAACAAAAAGAAGGUUAAAGAGGUGACUUGAUCAUGGUCUAAAGCUAUGUCUACGCUACCACUUACGUCAGCAAAACUUACCUUAUUGAAUAUUUCACCCCUCUGAGCAACAGAAGUUACACUGACAUACCUGACAUAAGUAAGUGCUAGUGUGCACAGAGCUAUGUUGGUGGGAGAGCUGCUCUUGCUGACAGAACUUAUGCUGCUCCCAGGGUUGGUUUUUUAUGCUGCUAACUCUUUAAUCUACAUAGAGUGUCUUCACCACAUGUGGUACAGGUGCGCUGCUGUAACACUAGGUGUAGACAUGGCCUAGGUAUCUACAUGGGGGGAAAGACUGACAGUAAGAUUUCUUUAAUCUAGCAGACAAAUGUCUAAGAUUCAGGGAUUGGAUCUGCAACUAGGUAAGUUCAUACUAGAAAUUGGACAUUUUUUAUAGGAGAGUAAUUAAACAUUGGAACAACUUAGAAAGAUAGGGUGGAUUCUCCAUCACAUGAUGUCUUUCUAAAAGAUAUGCUCUGGCUAAUCCAGAAGUUAUGGACUUAAUACAGGAAUCAUUGGGUGAUGGAUUUGUCAUGUAGGAGGUCAGACAAUUGUUAUGGUCUCUUCUGGCCUUAAUCUUAUAUUCUGGAGAAUGAGAAGGCAGUAGCAAGAAGAUAGUGAUGUAUCGCACUGCUAUAUACUAGCCCAAUCUGACCCUUUGACUAUAGUAGCCUAUAUUACUAUGAAGUCUUUAUAUAGUGUGGGAAAGUUUACAGAGUGUUCUAGAAAUGCACUAAGAUAGCUCUUUCCAUGAAGAUGCUAUAUUCUGUCAUACAAGAAACCUGACCCGGGAGGGGAGGGUAAGGAGAGAUUAUUGGAGAGGAGAAUGGAUGGCUAUUUGGUGGAAAUAGGCUAGUGGCUCUCAACCUUUCUAGACUGCUGUACCCCUUUCAAAAGUCUGAUUUAUCUUGCAUACCCCCAAGUUAUACCUCACUUAAAAAACAACUUGCUUACACAAUCAGACAUAAAAAUACCCAAGUAUCAUUGCAGACAGUGAAAAAUUGCUCAUUUUCACCAUAUAACUAUAAAAUCAAUUGGGGUGUAAAUAUUGUACUAUUUCAGUGUACAGUAUAUAGAGCAGUAUAAACAAUCAUUGUACGGAAUUUUAGUUUGUUCUGCCUUCACUACUGCUUUUUAUGUAGCCUGUUGUAAAACUAGGCAAAUAUCUAGAUGAGUUGAUGUAAUUCCCGAAAGACCUCUGUGUACCCGCAGAGGUGUACUACUGUCAGGGGUCCUUUGCUGUGUAUUCUCAUCUAGAUCUCUUCAUUUUCAACUUUUGACAUCACUUCUGUCCCUGUUUUUUCCAUUUGUUGUCCUCGAUAUACAGGUGCAGCCUGGGUCCAAUGGCUGCCCCCCUUUGAGGAGGCAGACCUAGACAUGCUUGACCCAUUACCCCCAAAUAGUACCAGGGUUUAGGUCAACUUAACUUCAUCACAUAAGGUGUGACAUUUUUCACAGCCCUGAGCAAUGUAGUUAAACCAAUCUAAUUUUGUAGAGUAGA